Zingiber officinale is the source of this 1504-nucleotide long non-coding RNA. RefSeq lists it as uncharacterized. The transcript has 6 exons. NCBI's taxonomy places the organism in Eukaryota, Viridiplantae, Streptophyta, Magnoliopsida, Zingiberales, Zingiberaceae. The record is from RefSeq and is a predicted model, not a curated record.
GUGUGAUAUUUUUUAGUAGAUUCGGCUAUCCUCGCAUUUUACUAUUGCUAUUGAUCUAGACGUUUUGAAUGCUCCGUAGGAAGAGAAGGCCAAGGUGAUCUAGACGUUGUUAUUCGUCUCGUUCAUUAACACGCUGAUGCAGGUCUACGUCGGAACUCGUUUGUCGACGGUCAUCGGCAGCUCCUACACCUAUCUCCUCCCGACCAUCUCCAUGAUCCUCAGCAAGCACUACGCCUACUUCAUUGACCCCUACGAGAGAUUUGUGCACACAAUGAGGUCGAUUCAAGGGACAUACAUCGCCACCUACUGCUUCCAGAUAACCGUAGGGUUCUUCGGUGUCUGGAGGAUUUUUUUUUAAGGUUUCCAAUUGCAUUGAAAUUGGGCUUCCAACAAUUAUUCUCCUAGUGAUCUUCGUGCUGUAUCUACCAAAUGCAAUGAGCUAGUGAAAGGAGAGUGAUCUUGGUAGGUUUGCGUUGGUUAUUGUGGUUUCUAUUGUUUGGUUAUACGCAUAUAUUCUCACUGUGACUGGUACCUACAAGAAUCGACCUCUACAAACUCAACUUGGUUGCCGAGCAGAUCGCUCUAGUCUUAUAGAUGGUUCACACUGGUACUGCAACUCUAACAUCAAAAUUUACCAAAUAUCCGUUUUGUUUCUUGCUACUUCAGCUGCAAAAGCUUGUGUGUCUGAUACAUUCAUAUUUCUCUGUUUGAUAUCUAAACAAACACAAGUAAAUGAAUUAACAUUGAGAAUCGUAAGUUACAAUUACUUGCAUGAGUAUAUUGCUGCUGAUGAGUUGGGAUGAGAUUCACACUAUUUAUCCUUAUUCUUCUUUGUUCUAAUUUUCAGAUAUAUCAAGGAGUUACAAGAAAAAUAUUUAGAUUAAUUUAACAGCUUGUCAGUAUUUCACUAACUAAGAGCAAAAAUGUCAUUAUUGAAAGAAACGUAAUGAUGUUAAAUCUGUAAGGAAUGAGCUUUGUUCUUGCAAUUAUGUUCCAAAGCUUGAGGUAAUCCUCUAUAUUAUUUGUUCAGGUUGUUUCUUCGCAAUUGCUUGGUUCAACCUUUCCAAAAAAACACCAUGAGAUUCAACCAUGGUUAACUUUGUCCUGGCUCUCCUUCAAUCAGAUGGAGCCCAGCGCGGUUAUUUCGGCUUGCAAUAUAUAAGAGAUAUAAUUGAAGUUCGCAAAGGCUGUGAUAGAUGCAAAGGAAAUUUCUAAAGUAUGGUCGGAGUGGACGGAAUACAUACAAGACAACAUAUCUAAUGAGUAGAAAAUAUAGGUAUUCAUAAUUCUUUUAGUUAGGUGUUGUAAGUUACAAGUGUUUUGGUUAUUCAUAACUCUUUUGGUUUAGUGAGCCUUCUUUUUUUGCAACUAGCUCGUUCAUCACAGUGUAGGUGUGUAGUUAGUUUGUUACAAGUAUUGUAUAUAUAUUUUUAAGGGUGAUCAUUUAAAAUGGGAUGAUGUAUAUUGUUUUGCUACAAGUGUUGUAUAUAUUGCUUGUACUUCA